Molecule: transfer RNA, 73 nt
Filed under: Stegodyphus mimosarum
Lineage: Eukaryota; Metazoa; Arthropoda; Arachnida; Araneae; Eresidae
Rfam family: tRNA
About the family: Transfer RNA (tRNA) molecules are approximately 80 nucleotides in length. Their secondary structure includes four short double-helical elements and three loops (D, anti-codon, and T loops).
Source: Rfam by way of RNAcentral
GCAUUCGUGGUGUAAUGGUCAGCACACUCGGCGCGUAUUCCAGAGAUCCGAGGUUCGAAUCCCGGCGAGGGCA